RNAcentral lists this ribosomal RNA (274 nucleotides) under uncultured bacterium. RNAcentral describes it as "partial 16S ribosomal RNA". It matches the Rfam family "Bacterial small subunit ribosomal RNA", at positions 523 to 796 of the family's 1533-position model. The record is from RNAcentral.
AUACGAAGGGGGCUAGCGUUGUUCGGAAUUACUGGGCGUAAAGCGCGCGUAGGCGGAUUGGUCAGUUAGGGGCGAAAUCCCAGGGCUUAACCCUGGAACUGCCUCUAAUACUGCCAGUCUUGAGUUCGGGAGAGGUGAGUGGAAUUCCUAGUGUAGAGGUGAAAUUCGUAGAUAUUAGGAAGAACACCAGUGGCGAAGGCGGCUCACUGGCCCGAUACUGACGCUGAGGCGCGAAAGCGUGGGGAGCAAACAGGAUUAGAAACCCUAGUAGUCC